RNAcentral lists this ribosomal RNA (253 nucleotides) under uncultured bacterium. RNAcentral describes it as "partial 16S ribosomal RNA". It matches the Rfam family "Bacterial small subunit ribosomal RNA", at positions 524 to 776 of the family's 1533-position model. The record is from RNAcentral.
UACGGGGGGAGCAAGCGUUGUUCGGAUUUACUGGGCGUAAAGGGCGCGUAGGCGGCGUGACAAGUCACUUGUGAAAUCUCCGGGCUUAACUCGGAGCGGCCAAGUGAUACUGUCGUGCUAGAGUGCGGAAGGGGCUACUGGAAUUCUCGGUGUAGCGGUGAAAUGCGUAGAUAUCGAGAGGAACACCUGCGGCGAAGGCGGUCAGCUGGGCCGACACUGACGCUGAGGCGCGAAAGCUAGGGGAGCGAACGGG